CCUACGGGUGGCAGCAGUGGGGAAUAUUGGACAAUGGGGGGAACCCUGAUCCAGCCAUGCCGCGUGUGUGAAGAAGGCCCUCGGGUUGUAAAGCACUUUCAGUGAGGAAGAACGCCUGGUGGUUAAUACCCAUCAGGAAAGACAUCACUCACAGAAGAAGCACCGGCUAACUCCGUGCCAGCAGCCGCGGUAAUACGGAGGGUGCGAGCGUUAAUCGGAAUUACUGGGCGUAAAGCGCGCGUAGGUGGCUUGAUAAGCCGGUUGUGAAAGCCCCGGGCUCAACCUGGGAACGGCAUCCGGAACUGUCAAGCUAGAGUGCAGGAGAGGAAGGUAGAAUUCCCGGUGUAGCGGUGAAAUGCGUAGAGAUCGGGAGGAAUACCAGUGGCGAAGGCGGCCUUCUGGACUGACACUGACACUGAGGUGUGAAAGCGUGGGUAGCAAACAGGAUUAGAUACCCCGGUAGUC
This 465-nucleotide ribosomal RNA is filed under the name Vreelandella stevensii. Its description in RNAcentral is "partial 16S ribosomal RNA". It matches the Rfam family "Bacterial small subunit ribosomal RNA", at positions 338 to 795 of the family's 1533-position model. The record is from RNAcentral. Lineage: Bacteria; Pseudomonadati; Pseudomonadota; Gammaproteobacteria; Oceanospirillales; Halomonadaceae.